GGUGCUGUCUAAAGAAGAGCAGCGCAGGCUGAGGAAUGAGAAGGCCUUACAGGAACACCUGGACAGGGUAAAGAAUCCGGAAUUGACAGGCAAACAGACCAGACAACCACAAUGUAAAGAUUACUCUAUUUUCACUGCAUCAGGGCUAAAGAGCAAGGACCCGCAUGAUCAACAGUCAGCAAAAUGCAAAGAUUUCUCUGUGUUUUCCACGAGCAGUCAAGGCGUGGCCAAGGUCCCCAGG
This is a long non-coding RNA of Coregonus clupeaformis (lake whitefish), 241 nucleotides long. RefSeq lists it as uncharacterized. The record is from RefSeq and is a predicted model, not a curated record. NCBI's taxonomy places the organism in Eukaryota, Metazoa, Chordata, Actinopteri, Salmoniformes, Salmonidae. The transcript is spliced from 3 exons.